This 342-nucleotide unclassified non-coding RNA is filed under the name Hevea brasiliensis (rubber tree). Lineage: Eukaryota; Viridiplantae; Streptophyta; Magnoliopsida; Malpighiales; Euphorbiaceae. The record is from RNAcentral.
UUCAUUUGGCAAGAUGGAGAUACCAGCCCCUUCAAUUUUAUGUAACCUCUUUGCUAUUGUGUUGAUCCUACAUUUACUAGAUACAUCAGUGUGUGAACCAACAUCGCAGACCGUCAUGAUCUUAUGUAACACUCAACUCCUGCAUAAUUGGACAAUUUAUGUCCGAAACUUUGUUGCAGCUAUGGAAACUGUAAGCCAACAAAUCAGAAAAGGAGGAUAUGGAGUUGCAGUUUCUGUCACUGAACCAGAUACUAGCUAUGCACUUGCCCAAUGCUAUGAUGAUCUUUCUUUACCCGACUGUACCUUAUGCUAUGCUGAAGCGCGAAAAAUUUUGCCCCGGUG